This 2800-nucleotide ribosomal RNA is filed under the name Escherichia coli KTE199. RNAcentral's name for it is "bacterial LSU rRNA". It matches the Rfam family "Bacterial large subunit ribosomal RNA". Lineage: Bacteria; Pseudomonadati; Pseudomonadota; Gammaproteobacteria; Enterobacterales; Enterobacteriaceae. The record is from RNAcentral.
UUAAGCGACUAAGCGUACACGGUGGAUGCCCUGGCAGUCAGAGGCGAUGAAGGACGUGCUAAUCUGCGAUAAGCGUCGGUAAGGUGAUAUGAACCGUUAUAACCGGCGAUUUCCGAAUGGGGAAACCCAGUGUGAUUCGUCACACUAUCAUUAACUGAAUCCAUAGGUUAAUGAGGCGAACCGGGGGAACUGAAACAUCUAAGUACCCCGAGGAAAAGAAAUCAACCGAGAUUCCCCCAGUAGCGGCGAGCGAACGGGGAGCAGCCCAGAGCCUGAAUCAGUGUGUGUGUUAGUGGAAGCGUCUGGAAAGGCGCGCGAUACAGGGUGACAGCCCCGUACACAAAAAUGCACAUACUGUGAGCUCGAUGAGUAGGGCGGGACACGUGGUAUCCUGUCUGAAUAUGGGGGGACCAUCCUCCAAGGCUAAAUACUCCUGACUGACCGAUAGUGAACCAGUACCGUGAGGGAAAGGCGAAAAGAACCCCGGCGAGGGGAGUGAAAAAGAACCUGAAACCGUGUACGUACAAGCAGUGGGAGCACGCUUCGGCGUGUGACUGCGUACCUUUUGUAUAAUGGGUCAGCGACUUAUAUUCUGUAGCAAGGUUAACCGAAUAGGGGAGCCGAAGGGAAACCGAGUCUUAACUGGGCGUUAAGUUGCAGGGUAUAGACCCGAAACCCGGUGAUCUAGCCAUGGGCAGGUUGAAGGUUGGGUAACACUAACUGGAGGACCGAACCGACUAAUGUUGAAAAAUUAGCGGAUGACUUGUGGCUGGGGGUGAAAGGCCAAUCAAACCGGGAGAUAGCUGGUUCUCCCCGAAAGCUAUUUAGGUAGCGCCUCGUGAAUUCAUCUCCGGGGGUAGAGCACUGUUUCGGCAAGGGGGUCAUCCCGACUUACCAACCCGAUGCAAACUGCGAAUACCGGAGAAUGUUAUCACGGGAGACACACGGCGGGUGCUAACGUCCGUCGUGAAGAGGGAAACAACCCAGACCGCCAGCUAAGGUCCCAAAGUCAUGGUUAAGUGGGAAACGAUGUGGGAAGGCCCAGACAGCCAGGAUGUUGGCUUAGAAGCAGCCAUCAUUUAAAGAAAGCGUAAUAGCUCACUGGUCGAGUCGGCCUGCGCGGAAGAUGUAACGGGGCUAAACCAUGCACCGAAGCUGCGGCAGCGACACUAUGUGUUGUUGGGUAGGGGAGCGUUCUGUAAGCCUGUGAAGGUGUGCUGUGAGGCAUGCUGGAGGUAUCAGAAGUGCGAAUGCUGACAUAAGUAACGAUAAAGCGGGUGAAAAGCCCGCUCGCCGGAAGACCAAGGGUUCCUGUCCAACGUUAAUCGGGGCAGGGUGAGUCGACCCCUAAGGCGAGGCCGAAAGGCGUAGUCGAUGGGAAACAGGUUAAUAUUCCUGUACUUGGUGUUACUGCGAAGGGGGGACGGAGAAGGCUAUGUUGGCCGGGCGACGGUUGUCCCGGUUUAAGCGUGUAGGCUGGUUUUCCAGGCAAAUCCGGAAAAUCAAGGCUGAGGCGUGAUGACGAGGCACUACGGUGCUGAAGCAACAAAUGCCCUGCUUCCAGGAAAAGCCUCUAAGCAUCAGGUAACAUCAAAUCGUACCCCAAACCGACACAGGUGGUCAGGUAGAGAAUACCAAGGCGCUUGAGAGAACUCGGGUGAAGGAACUAGGCAAAAUGGUGCCGUAACUUCGGGAGAAGGCACGCUGAUAUGUAGGUGAAGCCACUUGCUCGUGGAGCUGAAAUCAGUCGAAGAUACCAGCUGGCUGCAACUGUUUAUUAAAAACACAGCACUGUGCAAACACGAAAGUGGACGUAUACGGUGUGACGCCUGCCCGGUGCCGGAAGGUUAAUUGAUGGGGUUAGCGGUAACGCGAAGCUCUUGAUCGAAGCCCCGGUAAACGGCGGCCGUAACUAUAACGGUCCUAAGGUAGCGAAAUUCCUUGUCGGGUAAGUUCCGACCUGCACGAAUGGCGUAAUGAUGGCCAGGCUGUCUCCACCCGAGACUCAGUGAAAUUGAACUCGCUGUGAAGAUGCAGUGUACCCGCGGCAAGACGGAAAGACCCCGUGAACCUUUACUAUAGCUUGACACUGAACAUUGAGCCUUGAUGUGUAGGAUAGGUGGGAGGCUUUGAAGUGUGGACGCCAGUCUGCAUGGAGCCGACCUUGAAAUACCACCCUUUAAUGUUUGAUGUUCUAACGUUGACCCGUUAUCCGGGUUGCGGACAGUGUCUGGUGGGUAGUUUGACUGGGGCGGUCUCCUCCUAAAGAGUAACGGAGGAGCACGAAGGUUGGCUAAUCCUGGUCGGACAUCAGGAGGUUAGUGCAAUGGCAUAAGCCAGCUUGACUGCGAGCGUGACGGCGCGAGCAGGUGCGAAAGCAGGUCAUAGUGAUCCGGUGGUUCUGAAUGGAAGGGCCAUCGCUCAACGGAUAAAAGGUACUCCGGGGAUAACAGGCUGAUACCGCCCAAGAGUUCAUAUCGACGGCGGUGUUUGGCACCUCGAUGUCGGCUCAUCACAUCCUGGGGCUGAAGUAGGUCCCAAGGGUAUGGCUGUUCGCCAUUUAAAGUGGUACGCGAGCUGGGUUUAGAACGUCGUGAGACAGUUCGGUCCCUAUCUGCCGUGGGCGCUGGAGAACUGAGGGGGGCUGCUCCUAGUACGAGAGGACCGGAGUGGACGCAUCACUGGUGUUCGGGUUGUCAUGCCAAUGGCACUGCCCGGUAGCUAAAUGCGGAAGAGAUAAGUGCUGAAAGCAUCUAAGCACGAAACUUGCCCCGAGAUGAGUUCUCCCUGACUCCCUGAG